AGAGUUUGAUCCUGGCUNNUAACACAUGCAAGUCGAGGGGCAUCACGGGGUAGCAAUACUCUGGUGGCGACCGGCGCACGGGUGAGUAACACGUAUGCAACCUACCUCGUACAGGGGGAUAACCCGGAGAAAUUCGGACUAAUAUCCCAUAAUGAUAUUGAAAGGCAUCUUUUAAUAUUUAAAGCUCAGGCGGUACGGGAUGGGCAUGCGGAACAUUAGCUGGUUGGUAGGGUAACGGCCUACCAAGGCUACGAUGUUUAGGGGACCUGAGAGGGUUAUCCCCCACACUGGUACUGAGACACGGACCAGACUCCUACGGGAGGCAGCAGUGAGGAAUAUUGGUCAAUGGGCGCAAGCCUGAACCAGCCAUCCCGCGUGAAGGAAGAAGGCGCUAUGCGUUGUAAACUUCUUUUCCAGGGGGAGAAUUUUCCGGUCGUGACCGGGAUUGACGGUACUCUGGGAAUAAGCAUCGGCUAACUCCGUGCCAGCAGCCGCGGUAAUACGGAGGAUGCGAGCGUUAUCCGGAUUUAUUGGGUUUAAAGGGUGCGUAGGCGGAUCAAUAAGUCAGUGGUGAAAUUCUGCAGCUUAACUGUAGACUUGCCAUUGAUACUGUUGGUCUUGAGUAUGGUCAAGGUAGGCGGAAUGUGUAAUGUAGCGGUGAAAUGCUUAGAUAUUACACAGAACACCGAUUGCGAAGGCAGCUUGCUGGGCCAAUACUGACGCUGAUGCACGAAAGCGUGGGGAUCGAACAGGAUUAGAUACCCUGGUAGUCCACGCCGUGAACGAUGUUCACUAGGUGUUGGGGGUAUUGACCCCCUCAGUGCCGAAGCUAACGCAUUAAGU
RNAcentral lists this ribosomal RNA (843 nucleotides) under Bacteroidales bacterium UBA4805. Its description in RNAcentral is "bacterial SSU rRNA". It matches the Rfam family "Bacterial small subunit ribosomal RNA", at positions 32 to 865 of the family's 1533-position model. Lineage: Bacteria; Pseudomonadati; Bacteroidota; Bacteroidia; Bacteroidales. The record is from RNAcentral.